This 230-nucleotide long non-coding RNA is filed under the name Carica papaya (papaya). RNAcentral's name for it is "long non-coding RNA (CPAP_LNC005089)". The record is from RNAcentral. Lineage: Eukaryota; Viridiplantae; Streptophyta; Magnoliopsida; Brassicales; Caricaceae.
CGAAGUAAGUGGACAGUAGAGAGUUUUAUUAUUGAUAAAUGAGUUUGUUAUAAAUUAUGCUCCAUUGGUCGUUUUUGUUUUCUACCAACCUUUACUUCUGUGACAGUGAGAUAGUGCGAUGUCUUUACUGGGCUAGUGUAGGUCAUUCCUUACUUAACCAUUUCAGAUCAGUAGGGCUUGGUUCCUGAGCCCGUUCUGCAGGAAGACGACGAGUAGAAGCCAAAGAAUUU